ACAAAUUCAUUGACGAGAAAGAGUAAGCUAAUCCCCUUGUUCCCCAGAGAGUUGGCCCUAGUGCUGAAAGCCAACGUUCAAGACUUAGCCGAAAAUCCUCUCCGAGAAGGAAAGCUGAAGCAUUUGGAGUAAGCUGACCCGGAAUCCCACCGUUACAAGGGACGCGUAUGAUGGUACGUAGUAGAGGUGCCGAAAUGACAUGCUUGCAUGAAGAUUUCGGAACAAGGGUGGUAUCGCGAGAUCAAAUCUCGUCCCUUAG
RNAcentral lists this non-coding RNA (259 nucleotides) under Brevibacillus brevis. RNAcentral's name for it is "T-box sequence". It matches the Rfam family "T-box leader". Rfam says of the family: Uncharged tRNA acts as the effector for transcription antitermination of genes in the T-box leader family. T-boxes are found upstream of many aminoacyl-tRNA synthetase genes and some amino acid biosynthetic genes usually in Gram-positive bacteria. The anticodon of a specific tRNA base pairs to a specifier sequence within the T-box motif, and the NCCA acceptor tail of the tRNA base pairs to a conserved bulge in the T-box antiterminator hairpin. The record is from RNAcentral. Lineage: Bacteria; Bacillati; Bacillota; Bacilli; Caryophanales; Paenibacillaceae.